AGUGAACGCUGGCGGUAGGCCUAACACAUGCAAGUCGAACGGCAGCACAGUAAGAGCUUGCUCUUACGGGUGGCGAGUGGCGGACGGGUGAGGAAUACAUCGGAAUCUACUUUUUCGUGGGGGAUAACGUAGGGAAACUUACGCUAAUACCGCAUACGGCCUACGGGUGAAAGCAGGGGAUCUUCGGACCUUGCGCGAUUGAAUGAGCCGAUGUCGGAUUAGCUAGUUGGCGGGGUAAAGGCCCACCAAGGCGACGAUCCGUAGCUGGUCUGAGAGGAUGAUCAGCCACACUGGAACUGAGACACGGUCCAGACUCCUACGGGAGGCAGCAGUGGGGAAUAUUGGACAAUGGGCGCAAGCCUGAUCCAGCCAUACCGCGUGGGUGAAGAAGGCCUUCGGGUUGUAAAGCCCUUUUGUUGGGAAAGAAAAGCAGCAGGUGAAUACCCCGCUGUUCUGACGGUACCCAAAGAAUAAGCACCGGCUAACUUCGUG
RNAcentral lists this ribosomal RNA (492 nucleotides) under uncultured bacterium. RNAcentral describes it as "partial 16S ribosomal RNA". It matches the Rfam family "Bacterial small subunit ribosomal RNA", at positions 29 to 507 of the family's 1533-position model. The record is from RNAcentral.